CAUGCAAGUCGAGCGGUAGCACAGAGAGCUUGCUCUCGGGUGACGAGCGGCGGACGGGUGAGUAAUGUCUGGGAAACUGCCUGAUGGAGGGGGAUAACUACUGGAAACGGUAGCUAAUACCGCAUAACGUCGCAAGACCAAAGUGGGGGACCUUCGGGCCUCAUGCCAUCAGAUGUGCCCAGAUGGGAUUAGCUGGUAGGUGGGGUAACGGCUCACCUAGGCGACGAUCCCUAGCUGGUCUGAGAGGAUGACCAGCCACACUGGAACUGAGACACGGUCCAGACUCCUACGGGAGGCAGCAGUGGGGAAUAUUGCACAAUGGGCGCAAGCCUGAUGCAGCCAUGCCGCGUGUGUGAAGAAGGCCUUCGGGUUGUAAAGCACUUUCAGCGGGGAGGAAGGCGGUGAGGUUAAUAACCUUGUCGAUUGACGUUACCCGCAGAAGAAGCACCGGCUAACUCCGUGCCAGCAGCCGCGGUAAUACGGAGGGUGCAAGCGUUAAUCGGAAUUACUGGGCGUAAAGCGCACGCAGGCGGUCUGUCAAGUCGGAUGUGAAAUCCCCGGGCUCAACCUGGGAACUGCAUUCGAAACUGGCAGGCUAGAGUCUUGUAGAGGGGGGUAGAAUUCCAGGUGUAGCGGUGAAAUGCGUAGAGAUCUGGAGGAAUACCGGUGGCGAAGGCGGCCCCCUGGACAAAGACUGACGCUCAGGUGCGAAAGCGUGGGGAGCAAACAGGAUUAGAUACCCUGGUAGUCCACGCUGUAAACGAUGUCGAUUUGGAGGUUGUGCCCUUGAGGCGUGGCUUCCGGAGCUAACGCGUUAAAUCGACCGCCUGGGGAGUACGGCCGCAAGGUUAAAACUCAAAUGAAUUGACGGGGGCCCGCACAAGCGGUGGAGCAUGUGGUUUAAUUCGAUGCAACGCGAAGAACCUUACCUGGUCUUGACAUCCACAGAACUUAGCAGAGAUGCUUUGGUGCCUUCGGGAACUGUGAGACAGGUGCUGCAUGGCUGUCGUCAGCUCGUGUUGUGAAAUGUUGGGUUAAGUCCCGCAACGAGCGCAACCCUUAUCCUUUGUUGCCAGCGGUUAGGCCGGGAACUCAAAGGAGACUGCCAGUGAUAAACUGGAGGAAGGUGGGGAUGACGUCAAGUCAUCAUGGCCCUUACGACCAGGGCUACACACGUGCUACAAUGGCAUAUACAAAGAGAAGCGACCUCGCGAGAGCAAGCGGACCUCAUAAAGUAUGUCGUAGUCCGGAUUGGAGUCUGCAACUCGACUCCAUGAAGUCGGAAUCGCUAGUAAUCGUAGAUCAGAAUGCUACGGUGAAUACGUUCCCGGGCCUUGUACACACCGCCCGUCACACCAUGGGAGUGGGUUGCAAAAGAAGUAGGUAGCUUAACCUUCGGGAGGGCGCUACC
This 1411-nucleotide ribosomal RNA is filed under the name Klebsiella pneumoniae. Its description in RNAcentral is "16S ribosomal RNA". It matches the Rfam family "Bacterial small subunit ribosomal RNA". Lineage: Bacteria; Pseudomonadati; Pseudomonadota; Gammaproteobacteria; Enterobacterales; Enterobacteriaceae. The record is from RNAcentral.